This 543-nucleotide ribosomal RNA is filed under the name Microlophus quadrivittatus (four-banded Pacific iguana). RNAcentral describes it as "partial 16S ribosomal RNA". It matches the Rfam family "Bacterial large subunit ribosomal RNA", at positions 1841 to 2622 of the family's 2925-position model. Lineage: Eukaryota; Metazoa; Chordata; Lepidosauria; Squamata; Tropiduridae. The record is from RNAcentral.
CAAUAUUAAAGGUAACGCCUGCCCAGUGAAAUUUCAACGGCCGCGGUAUCCUAACCGUGCAAAGGUAGCGUAAUCACUUGUCCUCUAAAUAAGGACCGGUAUGAAUGGCUAAAUGAGGGCCAACCUGUCUCCUCUAAUUAAUCAGUGAAACUGAUCUACCAGUACAAAAGCUGGUAUAAACCCAUAAGACGAGAAGACCCUGUGGAGCUUUAAAUCAAAAAUCAACACCAGAACUACCACCUCUAAACCACCCUGAUUUGACGAUUUUCAGUUGGGGCGACUUCGGAAUAAAAGACAACUUCCGAGUAAAAGAGACCCUCUCUACCACAGACCGACAAGUCAACAAAACCUUGACCCAGUCCACACUGAUCAACGAACCAAGUUACCCCAGGGAUAACAGCGCAAUCUUCUUCAAGAGUCCAUAUCGACAAGAAGGUUUACGACCUCGAUGUUGGAUCAGGACACCCAAUUGGUGCAGCCGCUAUUAAGGGUUCGUUUGUUCAACGAUUAACAGUCCUACGUGAUCUGAGUUCAGACCGGAGC